Molecule: long non-coding RNA, 234 nt
Filed under: Sorghum bicolor (sorghum)
Lineage: Eukaryota; Viridiplantae; Streptophyta; Magnoliopsida; Poales; Poaceae
Description: long non-coding RNA (SBIC_LNC002553)
Source: RNAcentral
AACCAGAAUUUAUAGAAAGAUUAACAGAUUCCCUAGGUGUAGCUAAAAGUUCAUUAUCUUCUUGAUUAAAAGAUAGGACCUCGGUUAUAGAAAAGGGUUGGUUUUGACCUAUUGCAAUCAACUCCGGACACAGAUCAUAAUUAGGGGCAGGACUUGUUGACUCCCAUGGUCUAUGGCUGGUCUCCGAAGGUGCAAAGAAUUUAAUAAUAGGUAUGGAGUUUAAGUUAUCCAUAA